This is a long non-coding RNA of Erigeron canadensis, 1339 nucleotides long. RefSeq lists it as uncharacterized. The transcript has 6 exons. The record is from RefSeq and is a predicted model, not a curated record. NCBI's taxonomy places the organism in Eukaryota, Viridiplantae, Streptophyta, Magnoliopsida, Asterales, Asteraceae.
CAUUGAAAAGUCAAAUCACUUGUUUGCAGAAGGGGCGAUUCUUGUAUAGGAGAAGUUGGGGUCAGGUGUGAAUAACAAAAUCGAAAUAUAUUGAUAGAUAUAUACAUUUUCACGCUGCUAGUCAAACCGAUAUAUAGAUACUGUUCAAAUCGAAGAUAAGGAGUUGAGUAACAACAAAAUCGAAGCCCUAAAAAAACCCACAAAUCGUACUGUUCAAAUCGAAGCCAAAUCCAGAUUGUUCAGUUGGAAUAAGCAGUAGAAGAAGAAAGAAGAAAAAAAGCAAAGGGAACCGCAGUUUGCCUUUAUGACAAAGAGUGAUAUUGAUCAUGUUGAAGAUGGAUAUUGAUGGAGGAAAUAUGGACAGAAAGCCGUCAAGAAUAGCCCCUAUACCAGAAGUUACUACAGAUGCACAACUCAAAAGUGCACGGUGAAAAAGUGGGUGGAAAGAUCGUAUCAAGAUCCGUCGAGUAAUCACUACAUAUGAAGGACAGAAUAAUCAUCACUUGCCUGCAAUGCUGAGAGGGAAUGUUGGUAGCGGAAUGUUGUAUCCGCCAUCUAUGACUAUGAUGGCAGCACAAAGUGCCAUGAUGUUGGGGGUUGCAGCCGCUUCGUCAAGCUUCCCUCAUCGUGAGUUUCUAGCUCAUCAUCAUCAUGCUGGGUUCUACAAUAAUUCUAGUGUUGGAGCUAGUAGUGAACCGAUGAUUAACUACCAGCAGCAGCAAACUCCAUCAUCAGUAGUAGUUCAGCAAAUUCAGAUGCAUCAUCUACUUGCUAUUAUCUUGAUUCCCUAAAGAUUAGCUGUGUCAACUAACAGUUUAAGCAAAUAGUUGAUGCGGCAAUUGGAUUGUAUGAUGUACAAAGUGGAUUCAAGAAGAAGACUAAACUCAAUUGGGUCAACUCUAAGUUGAUAUUAUCCAAAUUUUGGGAGUUAAUGCUAUAAGUUUGAAGAUAAAAGAUGGUGCUUAUAAAACUGCACCAAUGCUUUACCUUAAAGAUGUCCAGCAGGAGGAAGAUUUCUGAUGCUAUAAUAGAACCUAUCAUCACAAUACCCAUGAAUAUGAACAAUCCGAUAAAACUUUGAACAUCAAGACUUUGUGGAAGAGCACGAUUAGGUUGUGAUUUAUCAAGAGCGGAUAAUCCAAGAUACUUUCUCUUCAUUUCCAUCACAGUUUCACUUUCAGUGACAUUGAUAACUGCCUCAGAAAAGAUCUGUAACAAAGGUGAUCCACGAGCGAACGCCUGAGAUCCAUAUUUAACACAUGAAGUUAGCUAUAACUCAAUAACCAUUGUAAAAAAAGUUUUUGUUUCUAAAUCCACUUAAAUUUGUCUCAAUUGUCAA